Molecule: ribosomal RNA, 403 nt
Filed under: uncultured bacterium
Lineage: Bacteria
Description: bacterial SSU rRNA
Rfam family: Bacterial small subunit ribosomal RNA
Source: RNAcentral
AUUGAACGCUGGCGGAAUGCUUUACACAUGCAAGUCGAACGGCAGCACGGGGGCAACCCUGGUGGCGAGUGGCGAACGGGUGAGUAAUACAUCGGAACGUGCCCAAUCGUGGGGGAUAACGUAGCGAAAGCUACGCUAAUACCGCAUACGAUCUACGGAUGAAAGCGGGGGAUCGCAAGACCUCGCGCGAAUGGAGCGGCCGAUGGCAGAUUAGGUAGUUGGUGGGGUAAAGGCUCACCAAGCCAACGAUCUGUAGCUGGUCUGAGAGGACGACCAGCCACACUGGGACUGAGACACGGCCCAGACUCCUACGGGAGGCAGCAGUGGGGAAUUUUGGACAAUGGGCGAAAGCCUGAUCCAGCCAUUCCGCGUGCAGGAUGAAAGGCCUUCGGGUUGUAAACUG